UAGGGAAUAUUGGACAAUGGGGGCAACCCUGAUCCAGCCAUGCCGCGUGAGUGAAGAAGGCCCUCGGGUUGUAAAGCUCUUUUGUCCGGAAAGAAAAGCUUCGGGUUAAUACCCCGGGGUUCUGACGGUACCGGAAGAAUAAGCACCGGCUAACUUCGUGCCAGCAGCCGCGGUAAUACGAAGGGUGCAAGCGUUACUCGGAAUUACUGGGCGUAAAGCGUGCGUAGGUGGUUGUUUAAGUCUGAUGUGAAAGCCCUGGGCUCAUCCUGGGAAUGGCAUUGGAAACUGGGCAGCUAGAGUGCGGUAGAGGGUAGUGGAAUUCCCGGUGUAGCAGUGAAAUGCGUAGAGAUCGGGAGGAACAUCUGUGGCGAAGGCGACUGCCUGGACCAGCACUGACACUGAGGCACGAAAGCGUGGGGAGCAAACA
Molecule: ribosomal RNA, 427 nt
Filed under: uncultured bacterium
Lineage: Bacteria
Description: bacterial SSU rRNA
Rfam family: Bacterial small subunit ribosomal RNA
Source: RNAcentral